GGCCAAAAGUAUGAGUAAACCUAAGAGUUGUUGAAGAAAACAUGUUUUCUUACAGGGCAAGUUACAGUCUGCUUCUGUGUGGCAAAGGUUUCUAUAGAAACAGAAGAAUGACUGUUGCUGGUAAAGAAAUGUCAUGGCAACCAGACAUGGGAGUAGCAGAGCACUGCCAAGGAGGCAGCAGGGAGAAGAUGAGCAAAAACUGGCUGAAAUCUGCUCAGAGCUGUUUGGAGGCUGCAAGGCAUCUUUACAGAAAAAAAAAAAAAAGGUCAGGAAAUCCCCUCAUGAAGCCAGAAAGUGCACAGACAGGAAAAGGCCUUUAACUAUUGAGCAGGGCAGAGGAGCACAAUCAGAAAAAAGAAAGUUUUUGAGUUUGAAAUGGCUUAUUCCAAAUUGAUCACUUCUAAAUUUCCUUAUUGUGUCUGUUGGAGCAACCCUUUGAAAUUAUGGUGGAUCCUCAAGCCACCAGUAGCAUACUACAAUAGUUCUUUGAGAAUUGUAGUGUCACCUUGUGGUUGGUUUCCCUGUGCAAGCUGAACACAUUUUAGAGAUAAUGAAUAAGUAAUUUCCUUCCAGUUUACCUACCUGUAUGAAUGCUUCACUAUUUUUGCAUGCCAACUGGGGAAUUGCUUAAGAAUAUUAUAGGAAGAUCUCAUUUAUUUUCUAAGAAACACAAUGCAUGAAAAAGAAAUCUCUUUCAAGUAUGUUUGACUUUUUUAAUUCAUAAAUAGGAUUUAUCAUCAAGACAAACUCCAAUGCUGGCAUUGGCCAGGAAGUCAUUACUAUCUGGUAAAAAGUAUGAAAUCUUAGAUUACUCUGCCUAUUUUUCCCUCUUCCAUGCAGGAGACAAAGGUGAGUGACCAUUUUCAUUGUCAUUGGGACCUAGAGAAAUAGUGCAAUGCUGUAGAAAGGACACAGGCUCUGCAGGUAUGACUUUUUUUUCUAUUCUGACUGUCAUUUACCACCUGUUGGACCUUUGGCCCUUAAACACUCUGGGCUUCAUUAAAAAAUAGAUAAUGGAAUAUAUGACCAACAUAUCUUCCACCUCUGUGUCUAUUACGCUAAUUUAAAUGAUGGCCAAUCAAAAAAGGUCUCCGUUCCCCUUUCUGAGUGUUGUGGAAAAAAGCUUGUUGUAUUGACUCUGGGUCUGGAAAUGAGUGUACACAGAAGAGGUCCCAAAGGCUAAACUUUUUUUUUUUCCUUUCAGGAUCAUUGCAUUCAAGUGAGGAAACAACUAUUUCUCUAAGUCUCUGAGUCCUAAAGGAUGGUGGAGGAGGGAUGCCUGUGACGUGCUUCCCACAAUAGUCAGUUGAAUCCAUUGGGCAGAGAGCCAUGUUUUUGCUUUGUUCCUGCUACGUCUACUUUUUUUUUUUAAUCUGAGUUAGAAGAGCAGUAGUGAUGGAAUCAACUACGCCUGUGACCUUAUGAAUUGAAAGAUUGGCAGAUCCCCAGAGGUCAGGAAUUGGAGUCUAUGCUAGCUUUUUUGACAAGUCAAGCUAUUGAUAAUUGAAAUCUUAACCAAGCUUUUUAAUCCAGCCCAGGAGCAGAUCAGCACUGAGAUAAUGAUUUCUGCAAGCAAAGAGUGACUCAUCCAUUGAAUAUGUCACAUUGAGAAAUGAAUUUAGUGGGUUGAAUUUUUUUUUUAUCAACCAUUUUAAGUUGAGCUCUUUCUUCCCAGGGGCUGAAAGAAUAAAACUUUAAGUAUUCCCCA
Molecule: long non-coding RNA, 1708 nt
Organism: Phascolarctos cinereus (koala)
Lineage: Eukaryota; Metazoa; Chordata; Mammalia; Diprotodontia; Phascolarctidae
Source: Ensembl